CUGCAGGAGAGUGGCCACUCAUUGUUCCACAACUAAUAACUACAGGAAAAGAGGUGGCAAGUGAAAGAUUAGGCAGUGCAACAACAUAGUCAAUGCUUAAGUUCUCCUUACAAAGCUUCCUCUUCUUCACUGUAGAUAAUGAAACCUGUGUGUCAAGAAUUAUUCACAGAAUGUAGUGUUUGUUAAUGAUAUAUCCAUCAGACAUGUAUAUUCAUUUUGAGUGUCACACAUUAACAGGAAAAGCGGACUUUGAUGUAUUGC
Etheostoma cragini (Arkansas darter) is the source of this 261-nucleotide long non-coding RNA. RefSeq lists it as uncharacterized. NCBI's taxonomy places the organism in Eukaryota, Metazoa, Chordata, Actinopteri, Perciformes, Percidae. The transcript has 4 exons. The record is from RefSeq and is a predicted model, not a curated record.